AUUGGACGCUGGCGGCAGGCCUAACACAUGCAAGUCGAGCGGAUGAAGGGAGCUUGCUCCUGGAUUCAGCGGCGGACGGGUGAGUAAUGCCUAGGAAUCUGCCUGGUAGUGGGGGAUAACGUCCGGAAACGGGCGCUAAUACCGCAUACGUCCUGAGGGAGAAAGUGGGGGAUCUUCGGACCUCACGCUAUCAGAUGAGCCUAGGUCGGAUUAGCUAGUUGGUGGGGUAAAGGCCUACCAAGGCGGCGAUCCGUAACUGGUCUGAGAGGAUGAUCAGUCACACUGGAACUGAGACACGGUCCAGACUCCUACGGGAGGCAGCAGUGGGGAAUAUUGGACAAUGGACGAAAGCCUGAUCCAGCCAUGCCGCGUGUGUGAAGAAGGUCUUCGGAUUGUAAAGCACUUUAAGUUGGGAGGAAGGGCAGUAAGUUAAUACCUUGCUGUUUUGACGGUACCAACAGAAUAAGCACCGGCUAACUUCGUG
This 484-nucleotide ribosomal RNA is filed under the name uncultured bacterium. RNAcentral describes it as "partial 16S ribosomal RNA". It matches the Rfam family "Bacterial small subunit ribosomal RNA", at positions 30 to 507 of the family's 1533-position model. The record is from RNAcentral.